UUUUUUUUUUUUUUUUUUUGACCCUGACACUGUCCCUGGGCAGAGAAUUACUCUGUCAGUGUCCAGAUGAGAUACUGAGCUUCCAGGAUUUAAAUCUUUGACUUACCUUUGCUCUCAGUGAUAUGAUUAAGCCAAGAUUAUUUAACUCAAGCCCCAAUGAGUCAUUCCAAACACCUUGAAUCAUUCUGAGAGACCUGACAAAUUUUCUGCUGAGUUACUGCCUUGGAGAAUUCUUUGCAUGACUAGUUGAACAUUGGAUGUCUGCAUGCCUUAUGAUUUAUAGCUUAUCAUCAUCUGGGCACAUGUCUGACCCAAUGGGCACACCCGUUUUAUUUCCACAGAGAAGAAAUAUCUUUGGUAUUAAAUGAGUAGGUGCCAAUUGGUGCUAAAGUGUAGGUCAGUGGAGCAGGGCAUAGAGUAUGUUACCAUUUGUGUCUGGGGAAAUAUAUACCUUCCAUUUACAGAAAAAAGGAUAGAUAUAGGUUAAGAUAUGGAUAUGGGCAGAGACAUACAUCUAGGCAGACACAGACAUAGAUACUAACGUAUAGAUACAUAGAAAUUUACCCACAAAAAAUUGGUCGAAGAGGUUACCUCUGGGGAAGAAAAUCAGGUAUCUCGGAGCGAUGAGGAGUAGCUAAGACUUUUCACCACCUAUCCUAUGUAACUUUUGAAUUUUUCUUCAUGUGCUUCUAUUGCCUAUUCACAAAUAAUUUUUAUAUUAAAAAUAAUGAAAGUUAAAUUCAAGCAUUUCAUUGGGGAUGUGGUGACACUUUCCAGUCACCUUAUGGAAAUAUUCAGGGUUGAUCAUAUGAGGGAUUGGUAAUUCCAAGGUGGUUUGGUAACAUUCUGAAUUAUACAAACUUUUAAUUUUGUGAUAUGUCAUCCACAUCCAGUAUGCCCUUGUAUGAAAUCAGUACUCUGUUUUGGUUGUAGGGGACUACGUUUCCCAGGUUUCUUCAGUUUCCAUCUAGAUUUCAAUCUAGGUUCAGCCAAUGGAAGGCAAAGGCCCUAGAAUGAAGGAUGGAAGGAAGAAAGAAACCAGGGUAUUGUUCUCUAUUUUCUGUGUUAUUUCCAGCACCAGUUAUAAGUCUCAGCUCCAGCUAGGAAGCCUCUACUCUGGUUCUAGUUCCUACUGGAUGACCCUGGCUUCUGGACAUUGGUAAUUCCACUUCCUCUUAUUGUCCUUCCAGUGUCAAGGUGGGAACAGCUUCCUACUGUUGCUAAUCUCUGGACUUCCUCUUUGGAUUCCAUGUUUGGCUUCUCAGUCCUUCCAUUUCCUAGGGAAUCAAUUCUCUAUAUUAAAUUUCCUCUGUUGGAAAAGCCUGGAGGGGCUUCUGUUUUUUCUUGUCAGACAGCUUGACUGAUACACCUCACAAGUCCACACUGUCUUUCUUUCUUUUUUCUUUUCAGCUACACCAAUGGUGAGCAGAAGUUCUGGGGCCAGAGAUUGAACCUGCACCACAGCAGCAACCCAAGCCAUACCAGUGACAAUGCCAGACCCUUAAUCCACUGAGUUACCAGGGAACUCCUACAGAUGCACAUUUUCUAUUUCUUGCUUUGCAAUCUCUUACCCUCAGAACUCUUUCAAAUAAUAUAUGAUCUUGGAUUCAGACUGAAGAACUCCCAACUCAAGGAGCGUGCAGUAUUUUACACUCCACCCCUGUAAUUUCACAACCACCAUUUUUUAUCAUUGCCCAAUGCUGUAGAUGGCUUUUUCAAUGACACCACUUGUAGACACACACUUAAGAAUAAUAGCCUCUGCAUUCCUUUCAGAACCAGAACACUUAGGGCAUUAAAUGUGGAAAUCCCUCUGGUCAGACCUUUUAGUCUGACUCUGGCCUAGCUAUGGAAAUUCAGAUUCAGAGCUUCUUCUUGACGGAGAUUUUAGGGAGAAAUGACCAUGUGGUGCUCAAAUACAGAUUCUCCAUUUCUCAGCUGGCUUUUUUUCAAGCUCUUCUUGCAUAAGAAAUCAAAAAUCCCAUUUCCCCUGUUCCUCAGGAAAGACAAUAUUCUUGACCAAACCAGUGGCCUUUAUUUAGAGAUCACCAGCCCAUCUCUUGUCACCACAGGGUUCUCGCGAAAGUUUAGCCCAAGCCUAACUACUCCAGGUGAUUUAUAGGUUCAUGAGAAUUUUCUAACAAAUUAUUGUAAUUCAUCAGAAAUGAUUGGGUUUUCUCAAUUUAUAAGUUAUUCAAAUUCUGUGCUGGCCGGGGCGAGAGCCUUAUCGUUUCUCAUGAUGACAGGCAGUGUCUGACUCAAGGGGUCUGACUUGCACAUGGCUCUCACAUCACUGCCCUUCUGGACUUUGUGGGACCCCGCCCUUCCUCACUGGCCCUGUACCUGAUGCUCCUUUCUUCCACCUGCUGUGCGGCAAGUGUGUUAAUUCCCUUCUUCCCUCACAAUCCGCUCCCCUGAUGCUGAUCCAAUCCUUCGACUCCUAAUCACAUCAAUUUGGAGCAAUCGUGAACUCCUGCACCCCGCCACCUUCAGCCAUAUAAUCCAUCCCCAUCCCUAUCCCUCUACUUUUAGCCUUUGCCACCUCUCCUUUACCGGACCUGUUAAUGCCUCACAUAUGGCCUCAUCUUACCACCCAAAGUCCUAUCCUUCCAACAAAGUGCCCUUGGCCCUGACCAUCCACACUAUCCCUGAUACAGAAGUAAAUAACCCCAGCUAUUAAAUGUCCCAUCUCCAUUCAAUGACCUUGUGAAGAUCCUGGUGUCUAUCCCUCCUAGUCCUAUAACUGCUCCACCCUAAUCUUCACCUCCCUUGUCAAAUCUCCCAAGUUAUCAAUUGUUACCCUUGGCCUGACCUGUCAGAGGUGUAGGAACAUAUUUACUGGGAUGCCAAGAAAGUUUAAACUCCAGGGGUCCUCACACAGCUCCCUUCCCAGGUCUCAUAUCUAAUGCAAUUUUCAUAGUGGUAUAUUCUUCUAACAGCCUUCAGGCCACCACAAAACCUGGCCCUGCCCCUGUUUGGAUGAUCACUCCCUUGAUUAUCUUGGAAUUAGGGGAAUGUUCCCACUCUAUCUGCCUGCUGCUUCUAGGGGAUAAAAAAAGUGCUUCUAGAACCACAAAUUGAACUUUGCAUGCCCUCAACCUUAGACACAGUGUUAAACCUAGUGGUUAGCUUUAAUUAUAUGGCUGGUGCUUUGUUUCAGCUACUUUUUUAGAUUAAACAGGUUUUUGCUGAUUGGCUUUGGAAACCAACCACUGAACAAGUGACUUGUAAACAAACUUCUGGAAUGUAAGCCAUUUCUAAAUUGCAGGCUUUGGGGACUUAACAUUAACAAAAGCCCAUAAACCACGUGUGGAAACCUAUGUAUAAAUACCGACAUUUUGUCACAUGAAAAAAGUUACUCAUUAAAUUCAAUCAAAAGAUGUAGCAAAAUUGGUAAUAUCCAACAAGUCAUGAUGUGUAACUACAGCCAUCAGUCAUCUGUACUUUCUGGGGCAGUUUCCAUUUUAAAUGUUCUGCUCUAUGAUCACCCUGUAUGACUCUCUAGUUCAUCAUUAUGAACUCAGAAACGAGUGUAGUACUUGGUACACAGUAGGCACUCAAGCAAUGCAUGCGAAAUGAAUGAUUGUAAAAUACUGUUUUGCAGACUUGCUUUUGGCUUUAAAACUAUGAUUACUGACUAUAUUUAUAGUGGACGUAUAAAAGCAAGUUAACAUACUUUUUGUGAUUUUUAAGUCUAUAUGUUGACAAUUAUGUAAAUUUAUUUAAUUUGCCAAAUCUCAUUUGCAAAACAAAAUGACUUGGAUUUCAACAGAUGUAAUACAUAUACUAAUGUCUUUAUCCUCAGUGAAAAAAUUCUUUACCAGAUGAUUAUACAGCUCUUCCAGAAUAUUGUGUUUAUUUUCUUAUUCAUGCAGAGGAAUGCUUUUAUAUCAGUUUUGGCAUGUAAAUAGUUUUAUUUUUAAAUAAUCAGUAUAGUUACAGCCUCUAACCUCCCACAUAGUUCAGCAAAAUGCUACAAAUAUGUUACACACUCUCCAAUUUUCAGUCUAAGAACUCAUUAACUUUCAGUGAGACUAUGGAUUCCCUCCAGCAAGUAGAUUAAUAAGGUGAGUAUGAUGAAGAAAAAUUUUUAUGUAAAUUAUCUUAAUCAUUCUAAGAAUUCAAAAGGAUGAAUUAUAAUAGAGUGAUGACCAGGAAUGUCUUUGAUUUCUGGAUUCCUGGACCACAGCAGUAUUACAAAUUGGUUGCAGCUUCUCCACUGCUUCUUACCCCUUCCUUUCUACCACUUCACCCCAACAAGAGAAUUCAAUAGUCAACCACUGGUGUUUGGGGAAUAUAUUUGGGGAAAAGAAACAAGAAGUUGUUUUUUUUUUUUUUUAAUUUUAGGUUGAAAGUAACUUCUCAGUUCUAGGAAAAUUUAUAGCUUUGGAGCUAGUUUGGGGAUAGAAGCAUUCAUUUCUCCAUCAGACUACCAGUCACUAGAACAAAGACAUGUUCCCCUGAUACCAUUGGUCCUUUCCCCCAUCUCACGCCCCCACCAGCCAAGAACACUCCCUAAGAAAUUUCUUUUCCUGUGCUCUUUUAUUCACCACAAGUGAAUUUUCAUCCCAAGACACACAAGAGCACACCAGGAAAUCUCCUGGUCCUGCAUUGCAACACGUGUAUGUGUCCACUUCCUUCCCCGAAUUUUAAAAUAAUCCCUUCCACCUUUAUUCCUCAUCUUUGACCAACAAAGUGAGAGACACAGCCAACUCCCUUCUCCACAGAGCAUGACUCAUGCCUUUCAUGGCUGGGAACUUACCCGGAACAGACACAGAAUGUGAUAGAUCUUACAGAUGAUUUUUUAUAAGUACAUGAGUGGUCUCCACACAAGUUAGGAAAGUUGCUGGAAAUCUGAGGAGGUUUUCAGGAUACCUGAAAGCCAGAGUCCACUUAGCCAUUGUUUGAAGAAAACAAUUUCAGGCAUUUCAAAGGAAGAGAUCUCUCAGACAACUGGCUGUUCCUGCUUCAAACCAGCUCCCAUCCUCCCCACCCACCACCCCAUCAGAGGGCCAUUAGAAUGCUGUUGGAAAUGGUGGUGGUUUUUCAGCAAAUACCAGGUUCUCCCACUUCAAAGAACAGUCAGCAGAGCGGUGAGUUAUUGCUUCUUCCUGGGGAGUUCUCCUUGCCAGAGUGUAAGAGACAUUGCCGUCUUUCCCUCUUCUUCCCAGGCAGAGGGGGAGGAUUUUUUUCAGAACUAGCCCAAAGAGAAUUCCUUGUGCAGAGCACUUAAAGCAAGGUUUCGGAAGCUCUCAGAUCUACUACUUUGUUUUAUGGUUGGAGAGGAGGGAAAGUGGGAAUUGUGGGGGAGUGGCGAAUUCAGUGCUUUUAAAAGACAGAGCACACAUUUUCUCCUCCACAGGAAGGGGGGUGGAGAAGCAGCCUCUUGAUGACCUUGGUGGCUGGGUCCUGGAGGAAGAGGGAGCUGUUCCAUCUAGUUCCAAGUAGAGGACCAUGAAACUCUGCUCACUUACUCCCAGCCAGUCUUUCAUUACCACUCUGUGCUCAUAGAAAAGGAGAACUCAGGAGUUCCCGUUGUGGCGCAGUGGUUAACGAAUCCGACUAGGAACCAUGAGGUUGCGGGUUCGGUCCCUGCCCUUGCUCGGUGGGUUAACAAUCCGGCGUUGCCGUGAGCUGUGGUGUAGGUUGCAGACGCGGCUCGGAUCCCGCGUUGCUGUGGCUCUGGCGUAGGCCAGUGGCUACAGCUCCGAUUCGACCCCUAGCCUGGGAACCUCCAUAUGCCGCGGGAGCGGCCCAAGAAAUAG
RNAcentral lists this long non-coding RNA (5762 nucleotides) under Sus scrofa (pig). Its description in RNAcentral is "lncRNA (ENSSSCG00000053903.1)". Lineage: Eukaryota; Metazoa; Chordata; Mammalia; Artiodactyla; Suidae. The record is from RNAcentral.